ACGAGGAAGGGCAUAGUAAGCGAUGAAACGCUUUGGUGAGUUGAAAAUAAACGUCGAUCCGGAAAUUCCCGAAUAGGUCAACCUUUAGAACUGCUACUGAAUCCAUUGGCAAGCAAGAGACAACCUAAUAAACUGAAACAUCUUGUAGCCAAUGGUGGUCAAUUGA
RNAcentral lists this non-coding RNA (166 nucleotides) under Punica granatum (pomegranate). RNAcentral's name for it is "Bacterial large subunit ribosomal RNA". It matches the Rfam family "Bacterial large subunit ribosomal RNA", at positions 46 to 224 of the family's 2925-position model. Lineage: Eukaryota; Viridiplantae; Streptophyta; Magnoliopsida; Myrtales; Lythraceae. The record is from Rfam by way of RNAcentral.